Molecule: ribosomal RNA, 440 nt
Filed under: uncultured bacterium
Lineage: Bacteria
Description: partial 16S ribosomal RNA
Rfam family: Bacterial small subunit ribosomal RNA
Source: RNAcentral
CCUACGGGUGGCAGCAGUAGGGAAUAUUGCUCAAUGGGGGAAACCCUGAAGCAGCAACGCCGCGUGGAGGAUGAAGGUUUUCGGAUUGUAAACUCCUUUUGUUAGAGAAGAUAAUGACGGUAUCUAACGAAUAAGCACCGGCUAACUCCGUGCCAGCAGCCGCGGUAAUACGGAGGGUGCAAGCGUUACUCGGAAUCACUGGGCGGAAAGAGCGCGUAGGCGGGAUAGCAAGUCAGAUGUGAAAUCCUAUGGCUUAACCAUAGAACUGCAUUUGAAACUGUUAUUCUAUAGUAUGGGAGAGGUAGUUGGAAUUCUUGGUGUAGGGGUAAAAUCCGUAGAGAUCAAGAGGAAUACUCAUUGCGAAGGCGACCUGCUAGAACAUAACUGACGCUGAUGCGCGAAAGCGUGGGGAGCAAACAGGAUUAGAUACCCUAGUAGUC